UACGAAGGGGGCUAGCGUUGCUCGGAAUCACUGGGCGUAAAGCGCGCGUAGGCGGAUUGUUAAGUCAGGGGUGAAAUCCUGGAGCUCAACUCCAGAACUGCCUUUGAUACUGGCGAUCUUGAGUCCGGGAGAGGUGAGUGGAACUGCGAGUGUAGAGGUGAAAUUCGUAGAUAUUCGCAAGAACACCAGUGGCGAAGGCGGCACACUGGCCCGGUACUGACGCUGAGGUGCGAAAGCGUGGGUAGCAAACAGG
RNAcentral lists this ribosomal RNA (253 nucleotides) under uncultured bacterium. RNAcentral describes it as "partial 16S ribosomal RNA". It matches the Rfam family "Bacterial small subunit ribosomal RNA", at positions 524 to 776 of the family's 1533-position model. The record is from RNAcentral.